This 498-nucleotide ribosomal RNA is filed under the name Hoploclonia sp. SB0296. Its description in RNAcentral is "partial 16S ribosomal RNA". It matches the Rfam family "Bacterial large subunit ribosomal RNA", at positions 1860 to 2616 of the family's 2925-position model. The record is from RNAcentral. Lineage: Eukaryota; Metazoa; Arthropoda; Insecta; Phasmatodea; Heteropterygidae.
UGCCCAAUGAUUAAUUUUUAAUGGCCGCAGUAUCUUAACUGUGCAAAGGUAGCAUAAUCAUUAGUUUAUUAAUUGUGGACUUGUAUGAAUGGUUGGACGAGAUAUUUACUGUCUCACAUUUUUUUAUAUAAUUUGAAUUUUUAGUUAAAAUGCUUAAAUUUGAUUGUUGGACGAGAAGACCCUAUAGAUCUUUAUUAUUAUUUUUUUUUUAUUUUUAUUUAGUUUAUUUUAGUGUAAAAUUGUUUGGUUGUUUUGUUGGGGUGACAUGGGGAAAUUUUUAACUCUUUAUUUUUUUAAUCACUGAUUAGUGUUUAUUUGACCUUUUAUUAAUGUUAUAAGAUAUAGAUACCUUAGGGAUAACAGCGUAAUCUUUUUUGAGAGUCCUUAUCGACAAGGGGGGUUGCGACCUCGAUGUUGGAUUAAGAUUAUGGUUGGGUGUAGCCGCUCAAUUAAUAGGUCUGUUCGACCUUUAAAAUCUUACAUGAUCUGAGUUCAAAC